UUUUUUUUCUUUUUCGGUUGAAGAUAGAGAGGCAAACGUAUGGCAGAAAAUGAGGGAGAAUGAAAAAGAAAAGAGAGAAACGAGGUAGGAGUAUAUGCACAAUUUGUCCAUCCUCCAUGAUCUUUCUCCAUCUUUCUCUCCUGCAUAUCUGAGUCUUUUAUGGAUUACCAAACUCGUAUAAAUAUGUGCGUUGGUAUAAAUAUGUGAUUAUGAAGUUAAAAAUGAAAGGAUAAUAAUGAAGGUGGGUGAAGCUAAUUGGGGAUGGGAUAUCUGUAAGCUAGCUAUUGUUGGUGAGCUAAUUAAUACGUGGGAAGUUGAAUGGGGAAGGGCUAAGUGCUGGUGCUUAUUUGGUUUUUGUGAUUUAUUCUUUAAUUCUGGGUUUUGCUUUUUACAGUUUGUUUUGCAGAUGGAUAUUUUAUUGUAGCUAAUUUUUACUUUCGGGAUUUGGGGUUUCAAAAGGUUGGGGGCGGCGCCUCUCACUUUUCCGUUGGGGAAGUGGUUUUUAAUUUAGAGGUUUUCCGAUGGAUUAUAGAGCUUCAAUUCCGGUUGCGAUAAAUCUUGAGAUUAUUAAAUUAGUCUUUUGGGUAAGGGGGAUUAUUGAUUUCAAUUGGGAGUCUUGGGCUUCCUAGCUUGGUCCUCGGGUUUUCUCUUGCGGGAUCUGAAUGCCUGCAGUUUUUCCUAGCUGUUCGGUUGUUGAUUAAAGUCGGAAAGAUUGAAAGAGUUGGUAUUUUGGGGGAAGCGUUUCAAAUUAGAGUUAAUUGCUCUUCAAUUUGGGAGUGCUUUGGAGCUCUGAAUCUGAUUGCUUGUCUCCUGGUGAUUACUUGUAAGUUACCUAGGGAUGGCGAGACUGAUAUGCGAAUGUGGGUUGCGAGAGCGGAGCUGGUACAAGGCUGGACAAGGACUGAGAAGGGUGCUGGCUGUAUCCAAGAGGUGAGUGCUAGUUCCUGGCUUGCUUGUCCUUUUAAUAGGAUUAAUAAACUUAACAAACUUAAUAUUGCAAGUGAAGCUUUGAAGCUAAAGCUCUGUAAAUGAAGCUUUCGACUUUCGAAGCUAGAGCUUUUGUAAAUGAAGCCUUUGAAGCUAGAGUUCUGUAAAUGAAGCUUUUGAAGCUAGAGUUCUGUAAAUUAAGCUUUUGAAGCUAGAGCUUUUGUAAAUGAAGCUUUUGAAGCUGAUUGACAUGAGUGAUGCUCAUGAAUGUUUAUGUUGAUUGACACGAGUGAUGCUCAUGAAUGUUGAUUGAGUGAUGUUCAUGAAUGUUUAUGUAUGAUUGGAUAAGUAAUGC
This 1282-nucleotide long non-coding RNA is filed under the name Malus domestica (apple). RNAcentral's name for it is "long non-coding RNA (MDOM_LNC012154)". The record is from RNAcentral. Lineage: Eukaryota; Viridiplantae; Streptophyta; Magnoliopsida; Rosales; Rosaceae.